RNAcentral lists this ribosomal RNA (253 nucleotides) under uncultured bacterium. RNAcentral's name for it is "partial 16S ribosomal RNA". It matches the Rfam family "Bacterial small subunit ribosomal RNA", at positions 524 to 776 of the family's 1533-position model. The record is from RNAcentral.
UACGGGGGGGGCAAGCGUUGUUCGGAAUUACUGGGCGUAAAGGGUUCGUAGGUGGCCAACUAAGUCAGACGUGAAAUCCCUCAGCUUAACUGGGGAACUGCGUCUGAGACUGGAUGGCUUGAGUGCAGGAGAGGAACGCGGAAUUCCAGGUGUAGCGGUGAAAUGCGUAGAUAUCGUAAGGAAGACCAGUGGCGAAGGCGGGUCUCUGGACAGUUCCUGACGCUGAGGCACGAAGGUCAGGGGAGCAAACGGG